GAUACCCGCUGAACUUAAGCAUAUCAAUAAGCGGAGGAAAAGAAACCAACCGGGAUUGCCUCAGUAACGGCGAGUGAAGCGGCAAGAGCUCAAAUUUGAAAUCUGGCCCCCUCGGGGUCCGAGUUGUAAUUUGCAGAGGAUGCUUCGGGUGCGGCCCCCGUCUAAGUGCCCUGGAACGGGCCGUCAUAGAGGGUGAGAAUCCCGUCUGGGACGGGGUGUCCGUGCCCGUGUGAAGCUCCUUCGACGAGUCGAGUUGUUUGGGAAUGCAGCUCUAAAUGGGUGGUAAAUUUCAUCUAAAGCUAAAUACUGGCCGGAGACCGAUAGCGCACAAGUAGAGUGAUCGAAAGAUGAAAAGCACUUUGAAAAGAGAGUUAAAUAGCACGUGAAAUUGUUGAAAGGGAAGCGCUUGCGACCAGACUCGCCCGCGGGGUUCAGCCGGCAUUCGUGCCGGUGUACUUCCCCGUGGGCGGGCCAGCGUCGGUUUGGGCGGCCGGUCAAAGGCCCCCGGAAUGUAGUGCCCUUCGGGGCACCUUAUAGCCGGGGGUGCAAUGCGGCCAGCCUGGACCGAGGAACGCGCUUCGGCACGGACGCUGGCAUAAUGGUUGCAAACGACC
This 614-nucleotide ribosomal RNA is filed under the name Aspergillus flocculosus. RNAcentral's name for it is "eukaryotic LSU rRNA". It matches the Rfam family "Eukaryotic large subunit ribosomal RNA", at positions 21 to 649 of the family's 3401-position model. The record is from RNAcentral. Lineage: Eukaryota; Fungi; Ascomycota; Eurotiomycetes; Eurotiales; Aspergillaceae.